Long non-coding RNA from Hippopotamus amphibius kiboko, 613 nucleotides. RefSeq lists it as uncharacterized. The record is from RefSeq and is a predicted model, not a curated record. Lineage: Eukaryota; Metazoa; Chordata; Mammalia; Artiodactyla; Hippopotamidae. The transcript is spliced from 4 exons.
GAGAUGCUGAGCUCAGCGCUACGGUCGUUGUCGCGCUGCUGGGUGGGGGCUGGGCGAGCAGCCGGCGCCUUUCUGGGUCUCAGUUUUGUCGUCUGAAGGAUGCUUUGUCAUGAGGAACGUGAGAUGCUAUCGUGUGACAGUGCCAAGCAAGUCGAAGAUGCUUCAGGGUGAAUGGGAAUGGGAAAUUUGGACACAGAGACAUGCAUAGAGUGAUGAUGAUGUAAAGAGACAUUGGGAGAAGAUGGUGAUCUACAAGCCAAGGAGAGAGGCCUGGAACAGAUCCCUUCCCACACAGCCUCUAGCAGGAACCAACCAUGGUGACAUCUUGAUCUUGGACUUCUAGACUUCAAAACUAUUUAUUUAUUUAUUGGCUGCACUGGGUCUUCGUUACUGCACGUGGGCUUUCUCUAGUUGCAGUAAGUGGGGGCUACUCUUCAUUUCAGUGUUUGGGCUUCUUAUUGCGGUGGCUUCUCUUGUUGUAGAUCAUGGGCUUUAGGCACAUGGGCUUCAGCAGUUGUGGCACACAGGCUCAGUAGUUGUGGCCCUAGAGCCCAGGCUCAAUAGUUGUGGCGCAUGGGCUUAGUUGCUCCUCGGCAUGUGGGAUCCUCCUGGG